GUAGUUGUGGCCAAGUGGUUAAGGCGAUGGACUAAAAAUCCAUUGUAGUUUCCCUGUGCAGAUUCAAGUCCUGCUAACUACA
Gopherus evgoodei (Goodes thornscrub tortoise) is the source of this 82-nucleotide non-coding RNA. The record is from the annotation of a RefSeq genome assembly. NCBI's taxonomy places the organism in Eukaryota, Metazoa, Chordata, Testudines, Testudinidae.